This is a regulatory RNA element of Marvinbryantia formatexigens DSM 14469, 101 nucleotides long. It matches the Rfam family "TPP riboswitch aptamer (THI element)". From Rfam's summary of the family: Vitamin B(1) in its active form thiamin pyrophosphate (TPP) is an essential coenzyme that is synthesised by coupling of pyrimidine and thiazole moieties in bacteria. The previously detected thiamin-regulatory element, thi box was extended, resulting in a new, highly conserved RNA secondary structure, the THI element, which is widely distributed in eubacteria and also occurs in some archaea. Lineage: Bacteria; Bacillati; Bacillota; Clostridia; Lachnospirales; Lachnospiraceae. The record is from Rfam.
UUUUUAUGCUAGGGGAGCCUUUGGCUGAGAAAGCACUGCGGUGCUGACCCUCACUACUUGAACCGGGUAAUACCGGCGUAAGGAAGCAGACUACCGAAGAA